UGAAAUCUGGUACUUUCAGUGCCCGAGUUGUAAUUUGUAGAAUUUGUCUUUGAUUAGGUCCUUGUCUAUGUUCCUUGGAACAGGACGUCAUAGAGGGUGAGAAUCCCGUUUGGCGAGGAUACCUUUUCUCUGUAAGACUUUUUCGAAGAGUCGAGUUGUUUGGGAAUGCAGCUCAAAGUGGGUGGUAAAUUCCAUCUAAAGCUAAAUAUUGGCGAGAGACCGAUAGCGAACAAGUACAGUGAUGGAAAGAUGAAAAGAACUUUGAAAAGAGAGUGAAAAAGUACGUGAAAUUGUUGAAAGGGAAGGGCAUUUGAUCAGACAUGGUGUUUUUUGCAUGCACUCGCCUCUCGUGGGCUUGGGCCUCUCAAAAAUUUCACUGGGCCAACAUCAAUUCUGGCAGCAGGAUAAAUCAUUAAGAAUGUAGCUACUUCGGUAGUGUUAUAGCUUUUUGGAAUACUGUUAGCCGGGAUUGAGGACUGCGCUUCGGCAAGGAUGUUGGCAUAAUGGUUAAAUGCCGCCCGUCUUGAAACACGGACC
Molecule: ribosomal RNA, 537 nt
Filed under: Hanseniaspora uvarum
Lineage: Eukaryota; Fungi; Ascomycota; Saccharomycetes; Saccharomycodales; Saccharomycodaceae
Description: partial large subunit ribosomal RNA
Rfam family: Eukaryotic large subunit ribosomal RNA
Source: RNAcentral